Lycium ferocissimum is the source of this 644-nucleotide long non-coding RNA. RefSeq lists it as uncharacterized. The record is from RefSeq and is a predicted model, not a curated record. The transcript has 4 exons. Lineage: Eukaryota; Viridiplantae; Streptophyta; Magnoliopsida; Solanales; Solanaceae.
CUUAAAACGUGCAGAGCCCAUAUUAAAGUAGUAAGUGGCCUAAUAGCACGUAAAAAAGCCCAUCUCAGCAUAUGCAUAUGUUUUAACCGUGCAAUCCUAACGUUCGGCUCUCACGCCGUCUAUUACUCCGCUACCGCUUUCUUGUUUGUUUGGCUACAUUUCCUAAUGUGACUGGAAUCGACAGUUUUGAUCCAUAUCAAGUUGGGCUUUGCUACUUUUGUUUUAUUCCAUGAUGUCAUUUCAGGUUUUCUGGAUAUUUACUGGCAGCACUAGGAUCUCUGUUGUGGCUACGGAAAAACAAACCCAAGACUUUGAUCCCUAUUAUAUAUGCAUGUGCUGGACUUGUGGCAACAAUUCCAUCCAUUACUAGUUAUCUGAGGGUGGCUUGGGAUGGCACCUUCUAAAAGUAGAAGGCUUCAAACUAUUCAUCUCAUCGACAAUUGCUUUAAUCAGUUGGCAGUUUGUUGCAUGCCCGGAGACCGUCUAACUGAGGGAUUUUCUUGUAGUAGAUGAGAUGACAUAAGGUACUACGAGUACGAUCUAUCUGCUUCUGUAACCUUUAUGUAACCUUUAUGUAACUGUCAAGGCCAUAUAUCUUCCAAGAUAUUUUGGCAUAGGCGACCAAAAAAAGCUUUUUUCCAUCA